UACGUAGGGUGCAAGCGUUAAUCGGAAUUACUGGGCGUAAAGCGCACGUAGGCGGCUUUUUAAGUCAGGGGUGAAAUCCCGGGGCUCAACCUCGGAACUGCCUUUGAUACUGCAAAUCUCGAGUCCGGAAGAGGUGAGUGGAAUUCCUAGUGUAGAGGUGAAAUUCGUAGAUAUUAGGAAGAACACCAGUGGCGAAGGCGGCUCACUGGUCCGGUACUGACGCUGAGGUGCGAAAGCGUGGGGAGCAAACAGG
This 253-nucleotide ribosomal RNA is filed under the name uncultured bacterium. RNAcentral's name for it is "partial 16S ribosomal RNA". It matches the Rfam family "Bacterial small subunit ribosomal RNA", at positions 524 to 776 of the family's 1533-position model. The record is from RNAcentral.